AACGCUAGCUACAGGCUUAACACAUGCAAGUCGAGGGGAAACGAUAUUGGAAGCUUGCUUCCGAUAGGCGUCGACCGGCGCACGGGUGAGUAACGCGUAUCCAACCUGCCCACCACUUGGGGAUAACCUUGCGAAAGUAAGACUAAUACCCAAUGAUAUCUCUAGAAGACAUCUGAAAGAGAUUAAAGAUUUAUCGGUGAUGGAUGGGGAUGCGUCUGAUUAGCUUGUUGGCGGGGUAACGGCCCACCAAGGCAACGAUCAGUAGGGGUUCUGAGAGGAAGGUCCCCCACAUUGGAACUGAGACACGGUCCAAACUCCUACGGGAGGCAGCAGUGAGGAAUAUUGGUCAAUGGACGAGAGUCUGAACCAGCCAAGUAGCGUGAAGGAUGAAGGUCCUACGGAUUGUAAACUUCUUUUAUAAGGGAAUAAAACCUCCCACGUGUGGGAGCUUGUAUGUACCUUAUGAAUAAGCAUCGGCUAACUCCGUGCCAGCAGCCGCGGUAAUACGGAGGAUGCGAGCGUUAUCCGGAUUUAUUGGGUUUAAAGGGAGCGCAGACGGGUCGUUAAGUCAGCUGUGAAAGUUUGGGGCUCAACCUUAAAAUUGCAGUUGAUACUGGCGUCCUUGAGUGCGGUUGAGGUGUGCGGAAUUCGUGGUGUAGCGGUGAAAUGCUUAGAUAUCACGAAGAACUCCGAUUG
RNAcentral lists this ribosomal RNA (696 nucleotides) under uncultured bacterium. Its description in RNAcentral is "bacterial SSU rRNA". It matches the Rfam family "Bacterial small subunit ribosomal RNA", at positions 32 to 715 of the family's 1533-position model. The record is from RNAcentral.